GUAAAAGCUAUGAAAGGGAAGAGUAAAUAGAUCAAUUGUUUUAAGAGAGAGGGAUUGUGUGCUGAAAUAUCCCUUAAAUGAAAUCUAUUGAAAACCACCCAGGAGUUGUAUACUGAAGUUUUGUAAGUAUUUCCGUUAGCCAGCGUUAAAGGUAGAGAGAAUAGUAUUUGUGAUCUUUGCUUAUACUAUUAAGUUGGGUGGAACCACGGUAAUACUCGUCCCAGUA
This 226-nucleotide non-coding RNA is filed under the name Clostridiaceae bacterium BL-3. RNAcentral describes it as "T-box". It matches the Rfam family "T-box leader". From Rfam's summary of the family: Uncharged tRNA acts as the effector for transcription antitermination of genes in the T-box leader family. The record is from RNAcentral. Lineage: Bacteria; Bacillati; Bacillota; Clostridia; Eubacteriales; Clostridiaceae.